This 324-nucleotide long non-coding RNA is filed under the name Cairina moschata (Muscovy duck). Its description in RNAcentral is "domestica (muscovy Duck (domestic type)) lncRNA (ENSCMMG00000011501.1)". Lineage: Eukaryota; Metazoa; Chordata; Aves; Anseriformes; Anatidae. The record is from RNAcentral.
CAUUGUAUCUGGUCAAUUCAGCAUAACAACUAACAUGCAAAAUAAACAUUUACAUUUCACUAUCUUUUUUUCCCACAGUGAAAUCCGUGGGGGACACUGGCCUUUCUCUCCUGUCUUCACUGAAACAGAAGGCUACACCUACAUGUACACAGACUAUAGAUAAGGAAUCACAAGCAAAUAAACACUGAGGCUACAGUCCAGCCAGAAAGAAAAGGUGAAGAGUCACUCUUUUUACUUCUGAAAUGCAAACAAGUUCAGUUAUUCUACUCUUGGAGUAUGUUUCUAAUGAUCACUUCUGGUUGGACUCUAGAAUGAAUCUCUGGA